This 67-nucleotide transfer RNA is filed under the name Cyclina sinensis. Its description in RNAcentral is "tRNA-Ser". The record is from RNAcentral. Lineage: Eukaryota; Metazoa; Mollusca; Bivalvia; Venerida; Veneridae.
GGAAAGUGUGGGUCGUGAAAAGAUUUCUAAUCUUUUUUGCAUGCAGUUCAACUCUGUUUACUUUCUU